This 253-nucleotide ribosomal RNA is filed under the name uncultured bacterium. RNAcentral's name for it is "partial 16S ribosomal RNA". It matches the Rfam family "Bacterial small subunit ribosomal RNA", at positions 524 to 776 of the family's 1533-position model. The record is from RNAcentral.
UACGUAGGGUGCAAGCGUUGUCCGGAAUUACUGGGCGUAAAGGGCUCGUAGGCGGCCAACUAAGUCAUACGUGAAAUCCCUCAGCUUAACUGGGGAACUGCGUGUGAUACUGGAUGGCUUGGAUUUGGGAGAGGGAUGCGGAAUUCCAGGUGUAGCGGUGAAAUGCGUAGAUAUCUGGAGGAACACCGGUGGCGAAGGCGGCAUCCUGGACCAAUAUUGACGCUGAGGAGCGAAAGCCAGGGGAGCAAACGGG